AACUGCGAGUGAAGCGGGAAAAGCUCAAAUUUAAAAUCUGGCGGUCUUUGGCCRUCCGAGUUGUAAUUUAGAGAAGCGUCUUCCGCGCCGGUCCGUGCACAAGUCUCCUGGAAUGGAGCGUCAUAGAGGGUGAGAAUCCCGUCUUUGGCACGGAUGACCCGGUGCUUCUGUGAUGCGCUCUCGAAGAGUCGAGUUGUUUGGGAAUGCAGCUCAAAAUGGGUGGUGAACUCCAUCUAAAGCUAAAUAUUGGCGAGAGACCGAUAGCGAACAAGUACCGUGAGGGAAAGAUGAAAAGCACUUUGGAAAGAGAGUGAAACAGUACGUGAAAUUGUUGAAAGGGAAACGCUUGAAGUCAGUCGCGUUGACCGAGACUCAGCCUUGCCUCGGCUUGGUGUACUUCUCGGCUCGACGGGUCAGCAUCAAUUUCACCCCUCGGAUAAUGGCAAGGGAAAGGUGGCACCUUUGCGGGUGUGUUAUAGUCUCCUGUCGCAUGCGAGGGGUGGGAUUGAGGAACUCAGCGUGCGCCUCGGCGUCGGGGCUUCG
This 543-nucleotide ribosomal RNA is filed under the name Lactarius austrotorminosus. Its description in RNAcentral is "LSU rRNA". It matches the Rfam family "Eukaryotic large subunit ribosomal RNA", at positions 85 to 630 of the family's 3401-position model. Lineage: Eukaryota; Fungi; Basidiomycota; Agaricomycetes; Russulales; Russulaceae. The record is from RNAcentral.